This 74-nucleotide transfer RNA is filed under the name Tetradesmus obliquus. RNAcentral describes it as "tRNA-Asn". It matches the Rfam family "tRNA". Rfam says of the family: Transfer RNA (tRNA) molecules are approximately 80 nucleotides in length. Their secondary structure includes four short double-helical elements and three loops (D, anti-codon, and T loops). The record is from RNAcentral. Lineage: Eukaryota; Viridiplantae; Chlorophyta; Chlorophyceae; Sphaeropleales; Scenedesmaceae.
UCCGCCAUAGCUCAGCUGGUUAGAGCGCACGGCUGUUAACCGUGAGGUCGUCGGUUCGACCCCGACUGACGGAG